Molecule: ribosomal RNA, 451 nt
Filed under: uncultured bacterium
Lineage: Bacteria
Description: partial 16S ribosomal RNA
Rfam family: Bacterial small subunit ribosomal RNA
Source: RNAcentral
AACGAACGCUGGCGGCAUGCCUAACACAUGCAAGUCGAGCGCCCGUAGCAAUACGGGAGCGGCGCACGGGUGAGUAACGCGUGGGAACCUGCCCAGAGGUUCGGGACAACCGCGGGAAACUGCGGCUGAUACCGGAUGAUACCUGAGGGUCAAAGAUUUAUCGCCUUUGGAGGGGCCCGCGUCAGAUUAGGUAGUUGGUGAGGUAACGGCUCACCAAGCCUGUGAUCUGUAACUGGUCUGAGAGGAUGACCAGUCACACUGGGACUGAGACACGGCCCAGACUCCUACGGGAGGCAGCAGUGGGGAGUAUUGGACAAUGGGGGCAACCCUGAUCCAGCAAUGCCGCGUGGGUGAUGAAGGCCUUCGGGUUGUAAAGCCCUUUCGGCGGGGACGAUGAUGACGGUGCCCGCAGAAGAAGCCCCGGCUAACUUCGUGCCAGCCGCCGCCGUAA